CAGUCUCAGUUCGGAUUGAAGGCUGAAGCCCGCCCUCGUAUGAAGUUGGAAUCGCUAGUAAUCGCGGAUCAGCAUGCCGCGGUGAAUACGUUCCCGGGCCUUGUACACACCGCCCGUCACACCAUGAGAGUCGGGAACACCCGAAGUCCGUAGCCUAACCGCAAGGGGGGCGCGGCCGAAGGUGGGUUCGAUAAUUGGGGUGAAGUCGUAACAAGGUAUC
RNAcentral lists this ribosomal RNA (220 nucleotides) under uncultured bacterium. RNAcentral's name for it is "partial 16S ribosomal RNA". It matches the Rfam family "Bacterial small subunit ribosomal RNA", at positions 1283 to 1500 of the family's 1533-position model. The record is from RNAcentral.